GGGAUUUUUUAAAAAGUCUAUCCCACUUCUUGGGAUUUUUUUUUUUAAAAAGUCUAUCCCAAUCCUUGGGAUUUUUUAAAAAGUCUAUCCCAAUCCUUGGGUUUGGGAUUUUUUUUUAAAAGUCUAUCCCGAUGUUGGGAUUUUUUAAAAAGUCUAUCCCACUUCUUGGGAUUUUUUUUUAAAAAAGUCUAUCCCAAUCCUUG
Molecule: long non-coding RNA, 203 nt
Filed under: Zostera marina
Lineage: Eukaryota; Viridiplantae; Streptophyta; Magnoliopsida; Alismatales; Zosteraceae
Description: long non-coding RNA (ZMAR_LNC006101)
Source: RNAcentral